AGAAAAAAAAGUUCAGGCUCCCACAAGAGAAAAGAAACACCAUGUCUAACUGUCGCUGCAAGCCAUUUCCAUGAGCUCUGAACACUUAUCACAAGUACGCGUCUAGAGCCAAAAGACACACGUGGUGUUCUUCCAACAGGACCGUAAUGGAAACUCAGCAGUAAAGAUACAUGAGAUAACGACUAGAAUGCCAUCAAUUGACACAUAAGAAUGGAACCCGUAGGCUACUUGCGGUGACACAGUGGUGGAUCUGUGAUACUGAAGCCAAUGAGAAGGUCUCGGGUUCGCAUCCCAAGGUCUCCCUGUACACACUGGGCAUGCAUGCAUGUGCCCUUGAGACUGGGUGGAUCCCAGCAUGAGGACUCUGUUGGGGGUACCUGUUUCUCUCCCUCUCAAAAGAGAAAUCACUGUCCUCAACCAUUACUGCCUUCUUUGCAAACCUUAAGAGGGAACAUUCAGUGUUAACUACCUCCGAAACUUAAGGGAUACACUUCACUGGGAAGACCAUCAGCAGGUCCAUGCUCUGGCGGCACAAAUCAGAGCUUCCCGGAACCAAACGCUGUCUCUGCUUAAAAGACAGCAUUCAUAUUGAAGUCCCAGCUGAUACUGGCCUCAAUGUAGAAAACCUUUCACUGGAGGGAUGGAGAAGAAGACAGCUCACCACCACAAAGCCACAGCUCUGGCCUAUGCUUCAAGACCUUACCCUGGACACCUUCCCUUUCCGCUCCACAACCUGUGGACUGUAAAAACUAACUGCAACUGGGGCCAGCAGGUGGCAUGCUGGUUAAGGCGUUGGACUCCCACAUGGCUGACUGUGCUCUGAGUCCUGGACCUGGCGGCUUAAAACUCGUGCUGG
Molecule: long non-coding RNA, 856 nt
Organism: Tupaia belangeri chinensis (Chinese tree shrew)
Lineage: Eukaryota; Metazoa; Chordata; Mammalia; Scandentia; Tupaiidae
Exons: 3
Source: RefSeq, a predicted model, not a curated record